GAUGAACGCUGGCGGCGUGCCUAAUACAUGCAGGUCGAGCGAACAGACGAGGAGCUUGCUCCUCUGACGUUAGCGGCGGACGGGUGAGUAACACGUGGAUAACCUACCUAUAAGACUGGGAUAACUUCGGGAAACCGGAGCUAAUACCGGAUAAUAUAUUGAGCCGCAUGGUUCAAUAGUGAAAGACGGUUUUGCUGUCACUUAUAGAUGGAUCCGCGCCGCAUUAGCUAGUUGGUAAGGUAACGGCUUACCAAGGCAACGAUGCGUAGCCGACCUGAGAGGGUGAUCGGCCACACUGGAACUGAGACACGGUCCAGACUCCUACGGGAGGCAGCAGUAGGGAAUCUUCCGCAAUGGGCGAAAGCUUGACGGAGCAACGCCGCGUGAGUGAUGAAGGUCUUCGGAUCGUAAAACUCUGUUAUUAGGGAAGAACAAAUGUGUAAGUAACUAUGCACGUCUUGACGGUACCUAAUCAGAAAGCCACGGCUAACUACGUG
Molecule: ribosomal RNA, 497 nt
Filed under: uncultured bacterium
Lineage: Bacteria
Description: partial 16S ribosomal RNA
Rfam family: Bacterial small subunit ribosomal RNA
Source: RNAcentral